Aedes aegypti (yellow fever mosquito) is the source of this 8533-nucleotide RNA transcript. It is a transcript of the gene named Niemann-Pick C1 protein, with no coding region annotated. The record is from RefSeq and is a predicted model, not a curated record. NCBI's taxonomy places the organism in Eukaryota, Metazoa, Arthropoda, Insecta, Diptera, Culicidae. The transcript has 12 exons.
ACUCGGUUAGUUUCUGAGCGGAGUUCGUGUCGUGUGGACGGGUUUGGAAACAAGUCAAGACCUCGAAAACCGUCGGUUCGAUUGUGCGUAGGAAUUACCUUUAUUCUCUUCUAACAGCUUGAAAGAAGAAAACGGGGCAAUUUGCGGCGGCAGAUUCGCCUGGAAAACGUAAUACCGCUAGUUGCAAGUGUUUGAUCUGGUGAAUUUAUCGAUUUAAUUAGUGGUGGCAAUGUCGCAUCGGCAGUGAAAGAUAUUUUUGCUUCCGAGAAGCCGUGUGUGAAAGUGUGGAAAAGGCUUUGUGCAAAUUUCAAGAGUCCCCCCUUGCUGAAAGGUAGGAGAAGAGUGCUUGGGGCGGUCGAAAAAAGUGAAGAUUUUAGUGCGGGGAGGUCUUCUACCCAUUGUUUUUUCCGCGUUGGAGAUUAUUUAGCAUCGGAAAAUGUCCUCCAGCUGGAAAGGAUUUAUUUUCGCUUCGGUGCUGCUGCUGGGAGUUCUCAAAUUGGCACUAGCGCAAAGCACGACGCAAGCGGCGGACACCGGAGGUGGUGGCACUAGAGGUUCACCUUUAUCACCCACAAGGGACGGAGGAGGAGGAGGACAGUGCAUUUGGUAUGGGGUGUGCAACAACGAAACGGCACUCACCUCCCAGUACUGCAGCUACGAUGGUCCUGCAAAGCCAGCCAGCACUCAAACCAAGGACCUGCUGAAGGUCUGGUGUAAGCAUCUGCUGGCCGACGAGGACGGAAAUGGAGCCGUCGAUACGUGCUGUGAUGCCGAACAGGUUCAAAUCCUUAACAACAAUGUCAAACUGGCGGCGAAUUUCCUCGCCCGAUGUCCCUCGUGUAUGGCCAACCUGGUGCGACACAUGUGCGAUUUUACGUGCAAUCCGAAGCAUUCCUCUUUCAUCGAGGUGAAAGCAACCGAGCAGAAUGAUAACACCAAGAAAGAAUACAUCACCGAAAUCGAUCUGCACAUCAUGGAGCAGUACAUGAACGGGACGUACAGCUCGUGCAGUCAGGUGUCGGUUCCCUCGACCGGUCAGCUGGCGCUGGAUCUCAUGUGCGGCGAGUGGGGUGCCUCUCGCUGUAGCGCUAGAAAAUGGUUCAACUACAUGGGCACCAAGGAAGGCAACUACUACGUACCCUUCCAAAUUAACUACAUCGCCCAUCAGAGCAGCAAUGACAGUGCGUUUACCCCGCUGAAGCCCCGGGUCGUGCCGUGCAGCGAGAAGCUGGAUGACAAAACACCUGCCUGUUCGUGCAUUGACUGCGAAGCAUCCUGUCCGCGACCACCGGCCCCAGCGCCCCCACCACAGCCCUUCGUGAUCUAUGGCUUCGACGGGUACGCCGUGGUUAUGUUCUUUGUGUUUCUGGUCUGCAGUGGACUUUUCGUGAUCGGCGCAUGCCUCUGCCAGUCCGGGAGCAACAACGGAGCCGAACUACUGGUGCCUGGAGACACAUUGCACUCGGACCUGCGCUCAACCGUGGGUCGCCGUUUGGCUGGUGGACUGUCUAACAGUGGCGAUUUGGGUACCGAUCGCGAAGAUUCGCCCUUACAAUCGAAAAGAUCGAGUGCCACAUGGGAUGGCGAGCAGGAGCUCCGACCGCACCCGAACACCAUCAACGGCGAUGACGACGCCGAAUCCGGAUACUUUGAGCGGCUAGGCGCCAAAACGGAAACCGCUCUGGAGAAGUUCUUUACCGCCUGGGGUACAACCUGUGCCAAACAUCCGUGGAUCGUGCUGCUGUGCGGUCUUCUGUUCAUCGUGGCCAUGGGAUUCGGAAUCAAAUUCCUGCACAUCACCACCAACCCGGUCGAGCUGUGGGCAUCACCCAACUCGCGGUCCCGUAUCGAGCGGGAAUACUUUGACUCGCACUUUGAACCAUUCUACCGAAUCGAACAGCUCAUCAUCAAAGCGGAGAACCUGUCGAACGUUGUGCACAACACUUCCAACGGGGUCAUCGAGUUUGGUCCGGUGUUCAACAAGCAGUUUUUGCUGGACAUAUUCGAGCUGCAGGAGUCGAUCAAGAAGAUUGAAGCAACUACGGCAGACAACAGGACCAUCGGAUUGCAGGAUAUUUGCUAUGCACCACUUACUGCGGAGUACAGAGGACCUACUCAGACGGAAGACUGCGUGGUGCAAUCGCUGUGGGGUUACUUCCAAGACGAUAUCGACACUUUUGAUGCCGAAGAUGAAGAUCCACAGGGAUUCCCGGUGACUUAUCUUGAUAAGUUGAUGCAAUGCUUCGGCAAUCCUUACAAUCCGGAAUGUUUAGCUCCCUACGGUGGUCCGGUAGAUCCCGCCAUUGCUCUCGGUGGCAUUCCUCAACCUGCCUCAGCGGAAGUGAAACCAAAGUAUGAAAAUGCAAAUGCCGUUAUAUUGACGUUCCUGGUAAAGAACUACCAUGACAAGAGUAAGCUCUCGGCUGCACUGACCUGGGAGGAGAGUUAUGUGGCCUUCAUGAAGAAUUGGACUAAGGCUAACAUGAGCAUAGCAUUCACCUCGGAGCGAUCCAUUGAAGACGAGUUGCGACGAGAAUCUCAGUCAGACGUUUCGACUAUUCUAGUCUCGUAUAUCAUCAUGUUUGCUUACAUCGCUGUUUCGUUGGGACACGUGAAUCAGUGGAGUCGAGCGCUUAUCGAUUCUAAGAUUACGCUUGGUCUUGGUGGUGUUAUAAUUGUGCUGGCUUCCGUCGUAGCCUCCGUAGGCAUAUUCGGUUACAUCGGACUUCCAGCAACGUUGAUCAUCGUUGAAGUCAUUCCGUUCUUGGUACUCGCCGUCGGUGUAGAUAAUAUAUUUAUCCUGGUUCAGACUCAUCAGAGGGACACCAAAAAGCCAACGGAGACCCACGCUGAACAUAUCGGACGAAUUCUCGGCCGAGUAGGACCAUCGAUUCUGCUGACAGCGGUCAGUGAGAGCUGUUGCUUCUUUUUGGGUGGCCUUUCUGAUAUGCCUGCUGUUCGUGCCUUCGCUUUGUACGCCGGUAUGGCCUUACUGAUUGACUUUUUCCUGCAAAUCACCUGCUUCGUGAGUCUGCUGGCGUUGGACACUGCUAGACAAGCUGACAAUCGUUACGACGUGCUGUUCUUCUUGCGGGGAUCGAAGAAGGACGUCCCUGUGAAUGCCAACAAGGAAGGCCUGCUGUACAAGUUCUUCAAGAGCAUCUACGUGCCUUUCAUCAUGCAGAAGCCUAUUCGGGUGGGAGUUAUGGUCGUAUUCUUUGGGUGGCUUUGCUGGAGCAUUUCCGUGGCGCCUCACAUCGACAUCGGAUUGGAUCAGGAACUCUCGAUGCCGGGAGACAGCUUUGUGCUGAAGUACUUCCGAUAUCUAGGAAAGUAUCUCAGUAUUGGACCCCCGAUGUACUUUGUCGUGAAGAGUGGACUGAAUUAUUCGCAACCGUACGAUCAGAACUUGAUAUGUGGCGGGCAAAACUGCAAUCUGGACAGCUUGUCCACACAGGUUUACAUUGCCAGCAAGCGGCCUACGGAGACUUACAUCGCUAGGCCCGCCGCUUCGUGGCUGGAUGAUUAUAUGGACUGGUCAGCUGCGUCAGAUUCUUGCUGCAGACAGUUUGGCAACGGAUCAUUCUGCCCUCAUGAUAUGACUUGUGACAAGUGUUCGAUAAACCUAACAUCCUGGAACCGUCCGACCGAGCCCAGCUUCCGAAGAUACGUGUCCUUCUUCCUGCAAGAUAAUCCCGACCCCAGUUGUGCUAAAGCCGGUCAUGCAGCCUAUGGCAAUGGAGUAAAUCUCAAACAGCAACUGGCCAGUACGUACAACGAUGUCGGGGCUUCGUACUUUAUGGCAUAUCACACUAUCCUGAAGACGUCCUCCGACUACUUCGAGGCGUUGCGAUCGGCUCGAAAGGUUUCCGCCAAUAUUACCAGCACGAUUCAUGCAAAGUUGCGGCUCGAAGGACGCAGCGAGUCGGAAAUCCAGCAGGUUGAAGUGUUCCCCUAUUCGGUGUUUUACGUGUUUUAUGAACAGUAUUUGACCAUGUGGCCGGACACGCUCAAGAGUAUGGGCAUUUCGGUGCUGGCUAUCUUCAUCGUGACAUUCCUGCUAAUGGGCUUCGACAUCCAUUCAUCGGUGGUCGUCGUGAUAACAAUUACGAUGAUCGUGAUCAACAUCGGUGGACUGAUGUACCACUGGAACAUCUCUCUGAAUGCCGUGUCACUGGUGAACCUUGUGAUGGCCGUCGGUAUCAGCGUGGAGUUCUGUUCUCAUCUGGUGCACAGUUUCUCUGUUUCGCUGGAGGAAACGCGGGAAAAGCGAGCAGCCGAUGCACUGACCAAAAUGGGCAGCUCGGUGUUCUCCGGCAUCACGUUGACCAAAUUCGGUGGAAUUCUGGUGUUAGGCUUCGCCCAGAGCCAGAUCUUCCAAGUGUUCUACUUUAGGAUGUAUCUGGGCAUCGUGCUGUACGGUGCCGCCCAUGGUCUCGUGUUCCUGCCGGUACUGCUGAGCUAUAUCGGCGCCCCCAUCAACAAGGUGAAGCUGGCCAACCAUCGACGGCAGGCACUGCAGGACACACAGGAAACCUCUCUCUCAACCCCCAGGGAUGAAAGAAUCUUUGUAUUUGACCGCAUUGAUGCCGAUGUCCAUGGUUAUUAAGUAUAUACUUCAUGUGGUAGUAGUAAAUGUCGUAGAUAAAACCAAACGCAAUAUACAAAAAGAAGCACAAAUUCAACUGUCUGCUGCAAUGAUCCCACUGUUUGUGCGUCUAUUGGUCCACCAAUAUUCGUAGGAUGAGAACAAUGAACAUGUUUUUGCACAAGCUAGGAUGUGAUGUAACCUACGUGUUUUGUGUGAAACUCUGAGCAGUAGACAACAGCUGCACUAGACCAGACGAGUGAAUUGACCUGGACCGCCGUUGUUUUAGAGAAUGAAUCACACAAGCUUGUAAUGCUGUCUUCCAUGAAGAAAUCAACUUUCCCUACUCAGGACGUGCUCCUCCCCUUCCCACUUGUGUAGUUUCGAAGCUAGUUUUAGCAGUGUGAGCGUUGAAUUGAACGAAACCAAAGAACAGUGAAAGAGUCAUGAGCUGAAGUACUAGCCAGCAUUUGUUCAGCAGGCGUGAUGUACCGCAGAAGACGUUCCACAACCGACGUCGCCACCCGCAACACCAACACUGAAAUUGAGAACGAUGAUGAUGACGAAGAUGCGGAUGAGAACUACCAAGGCCAGUUCUUCUACCAGCCACAGCAGCACUGGCCACAACAGCCGGAACAACGACGACGAGAGCAGCAGCCGGCUCUGGACAAACAACAGCAACAGCAAUCGUUCUACAGCACCACAGGAACCGACGGACACCAUCAACAGCAACAGCAGCGGCCACUCCACCCCUACCAACACGACACGCGAGCAUUCGUCCAUUCGGAAGCGUAUACAGAACAACUUACCGAACCUCUUCUGCAACCAUCAACCAGUAAACGAAGCCCCACGCACCGACCUGUAGGCAGUACGGGGACGUCACCCAAGGAAUCACCGUCCACGCAGAAACACCCUCAGCGUCGGAAAGUGGUCCCCGUGAUAGCCGCUGUCCCUACGACGGCCCCAGGAGACGACAGACAUGUGAUUCUAGACGACAAAUCGGUGGCUGCUGUUGCCGAGCAGGAGGUAGACUUCGACUAAAAGACGUAUAUAUCUAGUGUGGGUUUUUAGGGGAGAUGAGCCUGUCGGCGGCCAUUUUUGUACCAAUCCGACUUGUUGACGCUGGUUCAUCAACAUAACAAUUGGAAGAGCAGCAAAGACUUUUGUGAAAUGGAUUCCUAUUCCUGAAGAGGUUCACUGUUGCAUUAGAGAAGUAUGUUAGGUAAGUUAGUUGUGUACGCUGUCGGCCAGCAGAGUUUGUAGAUAUCGAGUCUUAUAUAUUUGAUAGAAGUGCGAAGUGCGGAUGUUGAAAGAAACGUUUAUGAAACUGGGACAAACGUUCUUACUGUAGACUUAUAUACCAAAACGGCUUGUAGAAGAAGGAGGUAAAUAUUUUGUACCAAAUAAACAAUCAGUUGAUGUGCAGAUUAGAAGCAGCAGGCGUCUCGAGCAAAAGGUUCAAAUAUUCUUAUGAAGAAAUCUUUAAACAGCGAACUGUUACGAAGUCGAUGAACGAGAAGGGAAGCGACGGGCUAGAGAAUGUUUAGCUAUUUCGGCUGUUUUGACGAUGGAGAUACAUGCUGAGUUAGGUAGAUCGGAACUAGAGAAUGUUCAUGGUCAGGGGGAUGCUAGUAAAAAAAAAGGUUGAAUGUUUAAAACUGAAUAUAAUAACUGUAAAUGUCUAGGGAAUAAUCCAAUCGAAAAGGGCUUAUUUUUUAGUUUGUUAUAAGGAAGAGUGAAGGCAUGUUGAAAUGCACGUUAUAGGUUCUGGAAGUCGUCUACGAGUUUGCGACGUGUGUAAGAGACAUGUCAUGAGUUGCAGAAAUGCGUUGUUAAACUGUAAAACCAUCUAUGAAAAUGAGAGUGCUUACUGAUUGCCUUACAUUUCAGUUCCUGUUUGGGUUAUCCAGUGGUUUACCUAUAUUUAGUAAAGAAAAAGAUGCUGAUUGUUUGAUUUCUAAAUUAUUUGUUCCCACCCAAUAUCGUCGUUUCAACCGUUGUCAUCAUCGUCAUCGCUCUCGAUUUGAAGUGAUUGAAGUAAAGUGCGUGUGGCCAGCAGAAGAUCAAAGAUUGAAUGACACUAGUCACGUGUUUCGCGUAUUUAUACCAUUUGAAAUGGAUUGAAUAAGUUUUGACCCGCUGUUUUCUAAUCUGUUCUCAGAAUUUUCGUUACACACUAAUGCUAAACACUGAUUUUGAGAAGCAGAUAUAAUCUAUUUUUGUGGAACGAAAAAGUUCUCCGAAAAAUAGGACAUUUUGUAGUGGCGAACUCUCCACGGGCGUAAAUCCACUCUAAUAAUGAUAAAUAACAAUAAUAAUAUGCAAUUUUGUGAACAAACGAUUACUUUUUCUCAAAAACUAUGCAAAAAUUCUGAGAAUUUGAAAUCAGCUUGCCAAUAUCUAUUCAAUCCAUUUCGAAUCGUUAAAUUGUCUGAAAUACUGUUGCCUAGUGUAAUUUUCCACCAUAGACAAUGUGUAUGUGAAAUUUACCAGCGAAUGAGUGUGAUGUUGAAUGCUGUGCGAGUGAUUAUAUGGUCAUACAAAGGCUUUCCAUGAGUUCAAAUGGAGCCCAUUGCAUAAUUAGUUAAAAUUUAUAAACUGGUAUUUCUCCGUAAAUCAAACAAAGGUGAUCAGCACUGGGUAAACGACGAGUACUGGCAAAACUUGCAGUGGCUUUAAGUAAACUCAGUUUCUUUAGAUUGUAACAUAACUAUAAAAUUGUGGUACCAUGUGAACAGAUAGUUUCUUCUAUAGGUUGCCUUUCUGAUAUUCAUCCUUCGAUACCAUAGUGUAGCCAAAAGUUGUAUUUAUAUGUGUAAACUGUAUUUGUUUUGCUGGCAUACAUGCAAUGCAUACAUAGUAGGGAAUAGACUUAUUUCAUUAGGGAGAAUUGUAUAAGUUGUUGCUCACACAAUCCGGUCCAUUAGGUUUGCUCUAUACACUAGUUUUGAGCUUCUUUCUUUCAAACACAGAAUGAGACGGCUUUAGACUAAAAUUUAUAUCUAGACAGAUCCUUUAGCUUUGCUUCGAAAACCAUUAGCCCUACUGUUAUGAAGUUCAAUGCUCUGUUUUUAUAACAGCUAAUCCUUUCAAUGAAUCCCAUACUCGGUCUAACAGCGUAUUGUCUUUCAUUUCUGGCUUAAACAGAGUGAUACAGUAAAACAAAGCCAUCCAUUUAUUUCGCUUAAAACACAAUGCUAUAAUGUUUCAGGACUAUGGGUGUUCGGGGCAGCGCUACAGGAUCCACAAAUUAUGUUAGCCCCACUUCCCCUCCACUCGGGGGCUGCUGGUGGGCUUUCUACGUGAUUCCAUUUAUCGAAAGUAUUUUAGACCAUAGGCAAAUGUAACUAUCUUUUCCUUCGUAGGGUCGUUCUAUAUUUAUCGUUAUAGUUUCGUUUUUUGAGGAAUAACAAUCAAUCAAAUGGAUUCUAAACUUAAACUAUUCUGUAGAACAUUUUUGUGGUAUGUUUUUUGUAUAAUUUGUUUUGUUCUUUGCAAUAGAAAAAAAGAGAAAUGUACUUUAUUAUGUGCAAGAAAAAUGUGAAAAAUAUACGAACUGAAUAGAAACGAAAAAAUCGUGUACAAUUGUUUUAUUUUUUAUUUCCCUGAUUUAUUUUUCUUAGAUAGAAAACAUGUUGAUGCUUGAAAACGGUUAGAUCGAGUCGUGAAAUGUUGCUUAAGCAAAAACAAGCUGAACGCUAAGGCAUGUAACAUAGAUAGCUGGUAAGGAUAGGAAAAUAGAUUAACUGCGAAUUGUUGGAGAACGUUGCAAACAUAAAGCGCUUGGAAACUAUCAUCUCAAAUUGUUAAGUUUAGAUUUUGGGUUGAUUCUUACCUCACAUUGCUAUAGGUACUUCAUGCAGGUCGUGCAUUGCAGGCUAUGAUCUUAUGAACUCUGGUACUAACCGAAACCGAGCUUCUGGGAGAAUACUGUUCACUUUGAGA